UGUAAGCGUAUACCAAAGUUGUUGCAGUUAAAACGCUCGUAGUCGGAAUUUGGCAGUUCCGGAUGUGUGCACGUCGUGUGCGCACUUCGCGGGGAUUGCUUUUGUGGUCUUGCGUAGGAUGAGGCACUUUUAUUAGUGAACGUCCUCACGCAACCACUUUUUACUGUGAGAAAAUCAGAGUGCUCAAAGCAGGCAUUUGCCGUGAAUGUAUUAGCAUGGAAUAAUAGAAUAGGACUUGGUUCUAUUUUGUUGGUUUGUCGGGACUGAGUAAUGAUUAAGAGGGACAGUUGGGGGCAUUUGUAUUUCGGUGCUAGAGGUGAAAUUCUUAGAUUACCGAAAGACAAACUGCUGCGAAAGCGUCUGCCAAGGAUGUUUUCAUUGA
RNAcentral lists this ribosomal RNA (382 nucleotides) under uncultured eukaryote. RNAcentral describes it as "partial 18S ribosomal RNA". It matches the Rfam family "Eukaryotic small subunit ribosomal RNA", at positions 592 to 976 of the family's 1831-position model. The record is from RNAcentral.